AGAGUUUGAUCCUGGCUCAGGACGAACGCUGGCGGCGUGCUUAACACAUGCAAGUCGAACGGAAAGGCCCUUCGGGGUACUCGAGUGGCGAACGGGUGAGUAACACGUGGGUGAUCUGCCCUGCACUUUGGGAUAAGCCUGGGAAACUGGGUCUAAUACCGAAUAUGACCAUGCGCCUCCUGGUGUGUGGUGGAAAGCUUUUGCGGUGUGGGAUGGGCCCGCGGCCUAUCAGCUUGUUGGUGGGGUAAUGGCCUACCGAGGCGACGACGGGUAGCCGGCCUGAGAGGGUGACCGGCCACACUGGGACUGAGAUACGGCCCAGACUCCUACGGGAGGCAGCAGUGGGGAAUAUUGCACAAUGGGCGCAAGCCUGAUGCAGCGACGCCGCGUGAGGGAUGACGGCCUUCGGGUUGUAAACCUCUUUCAGCACAGACGAAGCGCAAGUGACGGUAUGUGCAGAAGAAGGACCGGCCAACUACGUGCCAGCAGCCGCGGUAAUACGUAGGGUCCGAGCGUUGUCCGGAAUUACUGGGCGUAAAGAACUCGUAGGUGGUUUGUCGCGUUGUUCGUGAAAACUCACAGCUUAACUGUGGGCGUGCGGGCGAUACGGGCAGACUUGAGUACUGCAGGGGAGACUGGAAUUCCUGGUGUAGCGGUGGAAUGCGCAGAUAUCAGGAGGAACACCGGUGGCGAAGGCGGGUCUCUGGGCAGUAACUGACGCUGAGGAGCGAAAGCGUGGGGAGCGAACAGGAUUAGAUACCCUGGUAGUCC
Molecule: ribosomal RNA, 771 nt
Filed under: uncultured bacterium
Lineage: Bacteria
Description: bacterial SSU rRNA
Rfam family: Bacterial small subunit ribosomal RNA
Source: RNAcentral